Molecule: long non-coding RNA, 1614 nt
Filed under: Physcomitrium patens
Lineage: Eukaryota; Viridiplantae; Streptophyta; Bryopsida; Funariales; Funariaceae
Description: long non-coding RNA (PPAT_LNC006940)
Source: RNAcentral
AUAGGGGGGCGGCUUAAGUACCAAGAUGCUAAGGCCUCUAACUGCGUCGAGUCAUGUGGCAUUGCUUUGAUAUCACAAAAAAUUCCCUACAAGGGUUCUGCCCUUGGAGAUUGUUGCAUGGCACUACCUCUUGACUGUGCUUGGUGACUGAUCAACAAGACAACUGUAAGGGGCUGCUACCUCUUCACCUCCCUGCAAUUGUUACAAGAAUUAAUUAUGGUGCAGCUAUAUCAAUUAGAGAUGUAGCAUUAACAAUUCUCUCUAUGUUUAAAUAUAAUAAUAAUAAUAAUCAUAAAUUGCAUUAUCAUGAUAUGAAAUAAUUUUAGCAUAUAUGGCAAAAAAAAUUAUCAUAUUCAUUAAAGACAAAAUAAUUAUUGAUGUGUAAGAAAAAAAAAAAACAAAAAAACCAUUAUAAAUUUGUCUUUGAAACAAAAGCAAUGGUCUUAACAAAAACAAUUGUAACAACACAAGACACACAGCAAUUGUUUCAACAACAAAUCUAUCUUGUUAUGUGUAUGUAAGUAUGUUAAUUACCAAGAAAGGAACAAACUUUCUUAUAAACUCCAAUCACAAUGAUACUCAUGAAUUUGUUGUUAGUUAUGACGAAGUAAUGGACAAAUCAUAUCAAAUCAUUUUAUUUUAUUUUAUUUUAUUUUUUGCAAUUGCAUUGUGGAUAUCCAGAAAUCUAAAGAACCAUCUCUGAUUCUUGAACAUCAGGUCAUCAACCAAUUUUAAUAAUUUAAUUUUUUUCAUUUAUAUCUACAUUCAUUCAACGGACACUGCAUAUAAGUUAUUUGUUAUGUUUAGUUUUUGGUUUAAGCAAAACUGGUGCAAAGUCUUGAAUUUUAAAGAGGUUGUAAAUUUUGAAAUUCAAUGAUAGCAAUGUUAUCAAUAUUGUGUAUUUUUCUCUAUUAUUUAGUUCAAAAAAUAUAUACAUAUUAUUUUGAGGAUGUAAAUAUACAGACACAUGCUCCCCAUACAGUACAUAUUUUGAAAAACCACAAUUAUUUUUAGAUAUGCACUUGUUGAAAAGAUCUUCAGCAGUAAAACUAAAGUUCAAAACUACCACAAUUGAUACAGAAGACAGUCCCCAAGAUACACACAUGUAUAUAUGUGCACAUGAAUAUAUAUAUAUAAUAACGACAGAAUCAAAUUCAAUAUUCAUGUGGAGAAAUUUUUAAAGAAUAUUUAUGGAAGGAGGCAUGAGGUCAACAAUUUUAAAUCGUUUGGUUAGUUGAAAAUGAAAAAGCCUUGCUUAAUUGGCUAUAUUCUUACAAACAUCAUCCCAAAAGUUACAAGAAGAAAACAUGAGACAUUAUACAUUUUUUUCUACAUAGAAAGACCAAUAUUGCUGGUUCAAUUUUAUUGUAUGCUUAUUUCAAAGAGGUGUUUUGUACAAAGAAAUGGGAGUUUGUGUUGGAAAGUCCAAAAAAAAACUCUGAAAGAAAUAAGUAUCAAGAACAGAAAAUAUUCGUGAUAAUUGAUAUAAUCAAGGUAUGAUGUGAUACAAUUAGACUUGUGUUGAUAAUUGUAGUAAUAAUAAUAAAAACAAGUUGAUCCAUUUUAUGGAAUAUUUUUAUUACAUAUUAUCUCCGACGUCUAUUUUUUCUAAAA